CGGGGGAGGCCGGAUCCUGGGCUGUGUCCCGGCGCCCUGUGCUCCGGAGCCUGCGCUGGUGGAUUCUCCCGGGCCACGCAGCCCCCU
RNAcentral lists this microRNA precursor (87 nucleotides) under Canis lupus familiaris (dog). Its description in RNAcentral is "mir-8799 microRNA precursor family". It matches the Rfam family "mir-8799 microRNA precursor family". RNAcentral also lists the same sequence under 1 other name. The record is from Rfam by way of RNAcentral. Lineage: Eukaryota; Metazoa; Chordata; Mammalia; Carnivora; Canidae.